CGUCUUCUCAGCUCUCACAGGGCCCGCAGCGGCGCUAUACCUUCGGCCACAGGUAGCGCGUUCCUUCGCUGUGCUGACCGUCGAUCCCGGGGGCGCUAGAGCGCCGGCUCCGGGGAGGGCAGGGAAGCGUCAGGGACCUUUCUUCUUCUUUUUUUUUUUUUCUUUUUUUGAGACGGAGUCUCGUUCUGUCGCCCAGGCUGGAGUGUAGUGGCGCGAUCUCGGCUCACUGCAAUUUCCGCCUCCCAGGUUCACGCCAUUCUCCUGCCUCAGCCUCCCGAGUAGCUGGGACUACAGGCGCCCGCCACCACGCCCGGCUAAUUUUGUGUAUUUUUAGUAGAGACGGGGUUUCACCGUGUUAGCCAGGAUGGUCUCGAUCUCCUGACUUCGUGAUCCACCCACCUCGGCCUCCCAAAGUGCUGAGAUUACAGGCAUGAGCCACCGCGCCCGGCAAGCGUCAGGGACCUUUCUAGAGCCUUGCUUGGCCUGAGGUCCGGGACUGGGGCUGUCCCCGCUUCCUGUUUCUGCCAUCAGUGGGGCCACAGGCCUGAAGACGGCUUGUACCGCCACCUUGGGCGCCUCUGCUCCUGGCUGCGACGUGGGGCGUCCUAGCCUUCGGACCGGGAACCUGAUAGGAGACGAAUAGAAAGGGGGAAAGCCCUGGAAAAUUAAGCCGGCACAAGAAGGGGGAAACGUUUGGAGGUCAGGCAAGGCUGAUGGCCUUGGGGAUCGCGGAGCAGGAGGCUUACUGGGAUGUCCAGUGUGAGAAUGUCAGCCCGUGAGCUCUGGUGUGCAAGAAAAAUGCCUCUUUUCUGGAUUUCAGGUGAAUUUCUGACUCCUCUGGGCUACAUACGACCACCCUUCCCUGGCCCCCUCUGGUGAACUGGUUAUAAAAGAAAAAUUACCCUAGUUCUUCCUGCGGUCCCCUCCCCAGGGAUUAGGCCAAGUUCUGGAAGCUUAUUGGGUGACUUAGUGGGUAUGUUAAUGGUUAAGUAACGUACCCAAGGUCUUAUUGCCAAUCAGUGGCAAAGUCAGGAUUCAAAUGCAGAUCUCUUGGACUCCAGAGGCUGGAGUUUAUUAAAUGUUUAGCCCCAGCUCUAUUUGAUUUUGGGGGUUUUUUAAGACAGUCUCUAUCUGUUGCCCAGGAUGGAGUGCAGUGGUGCAAUCUUAGCUCACUGCAGCCUUGAACUGUUGGGCUUAAGCAGUCCUCCUGCCUCAGCCUCCCAACUAGCUGGGACUACAGGCGUGUGCCACCACACCUGGUUCCUAGCUCUAUUUGAGACCACAGUGGCCUGAAGUGUAAAGCACACUGGACACUAGGUGUCAAAAAAUAGAACUAGAAGUCAACAAGUGAUCUAAAACAAGAUUCUGUAGGUGUCUGGGCAUCAGUUUCAUCAUCUGGGUGAAAUGGACUUGAACCUGUUAAUAUCCAAGGUCCCUUCAGCCCUAAUAGUCUAGGAAUUCUAGAGAGUGUAACUGCUCAUUUGCAGGCUGCCAUCCAGACCAUCACAACUGUCUUGUGGCUCAUGGAGACUUUCAGAUUGAUGCAGUGGCUCCAAGGCGAAGUGACCUCAAUUGCUGAUGCAAAACUAGAUUCUAUAAGUGUAAACUGGUGGUUCACAAGGACAGGUGAGAAGUGCUGAUGGUGGCAAGGGAGGCAAUUAUAACAAUAUCCCUCCCCUUCUACCCCAUCCUCCACCCCACUUGUGACAGACAUAGACAAGGACUUAAUUGUGGCACAGAGGAAGGGCAACUGACUCUUGAGACCAGUGAAUCUGUAGUCAAAACGCACUGAUCACUGUUGAAUAACUACUGGAAUUAUCAAGAGUCUGGCUGAAUUUACAUUUUACUUUCCAAAACAAAUAUAACCAAAAAUUCCAGUCACUGCAUAAGCCAGAAGCAGGUGACACACAGAAGUGAAGACUGAGGGGAGUUUAGGUGAAAGCUGCAGCUGUUCUCUCCCUUUUAGUGGGGGCUUUAGUUGGACAAGUCAAAAGAGCUUUUUUUUUUUUUUUUUUUUUUUUUUUUUUGAGAUGAAGUCUCACUCUGUUGCCAGGCUGGAGUGGCAUGAUCUCGGCUCACUGCAACCUCUGCCUCUUCAGUUCAAGCACUUAUCCUGCCUCAGCCUCCCAAGUAGCUGGGACUACAGGCACAUGCCACCAUGCCCGGUUAAUUUUUGUAUUUUUAGUAGAGAUGAGGUUUCAACAUGUUGGCCAGGAUGGUCUCAAUCUCUUGACCUCGUGAUCUGCCCACCUUGGCCUCCCAAAGUGAUGGGAUUACAAGCAUGAGCCACUGCGCCCGGCUCAGAACAGAUUUCUGAAGAGGUUGUAUGCAAACUGAUUAUUGUAGACUCAAAGGCUUACACUCCCAUGAAGUAAGAGGGAGCUUUCUUAAAUGUAAGAUAGAAUCAAAAUAUUCCUAGUAG
This 2422-nucleotide long non-coding RNA is filed under the name Homo sapiens (human). RNAcentral describes it as "HSALNT0198840". The record is from RNAcentral. Lineage: Eukaryota; Metazoa; Chordata; Mammalia; Primates; Hominidae.